GAGUUUGAUCCUGGYUCMKAACGAACGCYGGCGGCGUGCUUAACACAUGCAAGUCGAACGUGAUCCGGAGCUUGCUCCGGUGAAAGUGGCGCACGGGUGAGUAACGCSUGGAUAAUCUGCCCUGGUAUCUGGGAUAACAUCKCGAAAGGGGUGCUAAURCCGGAUAAGCCCACGGGAUCCUCGGAUUCUGCGGGAAAAGGUGGCCUCUAUUUAUAAGCUACCGUAUCAGGAUGAGUCCSCGKACCAUUAGCUAGUUGGUGGGGUAAUGGCCCACCAAGGCWACSAUGGUUAGCUGGUCUGAGAGGAUGAUCAGCCACMCUGGAACUGAGACACGGWCCAKACUCCUACGGGAGGCAGCAKUGGGGAAUUUUGCGCAAUGGGGGAAACCCUGACGCAGCAACGCCGCGUGAGUGAUGAAGGCUUUCGGGUCGUAAAGCUCUGUCAGAGGGGAAGAAAUGAGACUGGCUAAUAUCCAGUUUACUUGACGGUACCCUCAAAGGAAGCACCRGCUAACUCCGUGCCAGCAGCCGCGGUAAUAC
Molecule: ribosomal RNA, 539 nt
Filed under: uncultured Geobacteraceae bacterium
Lineage: Bacteria; Pseudomonadati; Thermodesulfobacteriota; Desulfuromonadia; Geobacterales; Geobacteraceae
Description: partial 16S ribosomal RNA
Rfam family: Bacterial small subunit ribosomal RNA
Source: RNAcentral